RNAcentral lists this ribosomal RNA (237 nucleotides) under uncultured bacterium. RNAcentral describes it as "partial 16S ribosomal RNA". It matches the Rfam family "Bacterial small subunit ribosomal RNA", at positions 100 to 334 of the family's 1533-position model. The record is from RNAcentral.
CCGGCACGGGUGAGUAACACGUAUCCAACCUGCCGUCUACUCUUGGACAGCCUUCUGAAAGGAAGAUUAAUACAAGAUGGCAUCAUGAGUCCGCAUGUUCACAUGAUUAAAGGUGUUCCGGUAGACGAUGGGGAUGCGUUCCAUUAGAUAGUAGGCGGGGUAACGGCCCACCUAGUCUUCGAUGGAUAGGGGUUCUGAGAGGAAGGUCCCCCACAUUGGAACUGAGACACGGCCCAA